GGCCCUGAACGGACGCCGUAGCCGAGAGGUUGGGCGGAUGUUGUGAACCGGGUCGCGGCGGCCGAGGCUCGGGCCUCCAGGACCACUGGCUGCCCAUGAGAGACGAAGGAUGGCAUCCAAGGGGGCCGGCGUGUCUUUCUCCCGCAAGAGCUGUAGGCUGACCUCAGAUGCUGAGAAAUCCAGGGUCACAGUUACUCGGGAGGCUGAGGCAGGAGAAUCGCUUGAACCGGAGAGGCGGACGUUGCAGUGAGCCGAGGUCAAACCAGUGCACUCCAGCCUGGGCAACAGAGCGAGACUCCAUCUGAAAAAGAAACAAAAAGAAAAAAAAAUUUUGGACCCGCUGCAGCUGGGAGGGGAGCUGUCCAGGAGGCCGGCCUGGGAAUGAGCACAGGCCUGCGGCUGGCAGAGAGCCGGGUCGAGCCAGCCCUGGAGAAGCAGGCCCAGCUGGAGGAGCAGCUGCGGGACAAGGUGCUCCACGAGAAGGACCUGUCCCAGCAGCAGAUGCAAAGCGACCUGGACAAGGCUGACCUCAGUGCCAGGAGGGUCCCUGGUGGGUGCUGCAUGAGGCAGGCGUCACUGCAGAAGCUACGAGGGAGGCUGAGACAGGAGAAUCGCUUGAACCCAGGAUGUGGAGGUUGCAGUGAGCCAAGAUCACAUCACUGUAUUCCGGCCUGGACGACACAGCGAAACUCUGUCUCAAAAGAAAACCACAAAAAAACAACUUGUGCCCCUUACUCCUGCCACCUGGAGUGACAGAGCUGGGCCUGGCAGUGAAGCGUCUACAGAAGCAGAAUCUGGAGAAGGAUCAGGUCGACAAGGACCUCACCGAGAAGCUUGAGGCCCUGGAAUCCCUGCGGCUACAGGAGCAGGCGGCCCUGGAGACAGAGGAUGGAGAGGGGCUACAGCGGAGCCUAAGGGACCUGGCA
Molecule: long non-coding RNA, 926 nt
Organism: Homo sapiens (human)
Lineage: Eukaryota; Metazoa; Chordata; Mammalia; Primates; Hominidae
Source: Ensembl